GGAGCAUCCAGAGCCCUCCAAAUGCUGCUCCGUGCAGCCAAACCCAGAGCGCCAGGCAUCAGAUGGAGCGAGGCAGCAGCUGCAGCAAUAGUUUCUGGCUUCUGGCAAGGAAAACAGAUGAGCAAAUAUUCUCUGUCUUGAAGUUAAAUGCAUUGCUGCAGCAAAAGGCCUCUCCAGCUUUCCAGCUACCAUGAAUCCUGAGCCUACUCUUAAACUGGCUGCCCUGAGUUGUUCUGUGGCACUGACUCAUGAUGCAGUCCAGUCUGGAAUGUUGCUAAUUGGCAGCUGCUGGAAACACUGAUGGAUUGGCU
This 311-nucleotide long non-coding RNA is filed under the name Zonotrichia albicollis (white-throated sparrow). RNAcentral describes it as "lncRNA (ENSZALG00000017656.1)". The record is from RNAcentral. Lineage: Eukaryota; Metazoa; Chordata; Aves; Passeriformes; Passerellidae.